RNAcentral lists this ribosomal RNA (414 nucleotides) under uncultured crenarchaeote. RNAcentral describes it as "partial 16S ribosomal RNA". It matches the Rfam family "Archaeal small subunit ribosomal RNA", at positions 330 to 747 of the family's 1478-position model. Lineage: Archaea; Thermoproteati; Thermoproteota. The record is from RNAcentral.
GUGCAGCAGGCGCGAAACCUUCGCAAUGCACGAAAGUGCGACGAGGCUACUCCGAGUGCCAUCCGCUGAGGAUGGCUUUUGCCAGGUCUAAACCGCCUGGAGAAUAAGGGGAGGGCAAGUCUGGUGUCAGCCGCCGCGGUAAUACCAGCUCCUCGAGUGGUCGGGACGAUUAUUGGGCCUAAGCAUCCGUAGCCGGUUCUGUAGGUCUCCUGUCAAAUUCAACGGCUCAACCGUUGAGCUGCAGGAGAUACCGCAGGGCUAGGAGGCGGGAGAGGUGGACGGUACUCUAUGGGUAGGGGUAAAAUCUUCUGAUCCAUGGAAGACCACCAGUGGCGAAGGCGGGUAGCCAGAACGCGCUCGACGAUGAGGGGCGAAAGCUGGGGGAGCGAACCGGAUUAGAUACCCGGGUAGUCC